RNAcentral lists this unclassified non-coding RNA (688 nucleotides) under Leishmania donovani. Its description in RNAcentral is "gene:unknown". The record is from RNAcentral. Lineage: Eukaryota; Euglenozoa; Kinetoplastea; Trypanosomatida; Trypanosomatidae.
UCCCGUCAUUGCCUUGUGCGCUCCUUCGCGCUAUGCCGUAAUGUCGUGACAGAAGCAACUCUGGGGCGUCACUUGAUGUGUAGCGAGGGAAGACAGCUGUGACACGUGCCCACGAUGUGCUGAAGGAGAGGAAGGGGUGGUGGUGGUGGUGUAGCAACGGUGACGUUUACGCUGCCGAACACGCACAGAGGGAGAGGCACGUGCUGGUGGGACCUAUUCUUCACAGAUUGUGCACCCGCAUCUGCCCUUGCCCAUUUUCACUCGUUACUGUUUGUUCCUGCUGCGCUCUUCCACAUUCGUGCAAUCCCCCUUUUGAUACCCUCCUGCACACAUUGCUCACGUCCCUCGGCCACUGCAGCGUCACUGCUUCUCAGCUUCCGUCGUCGGCUACCGCUCAUGCUGCUAAUCGCGGGGGUUAGCUCGCAUUCCGGCCACCCCUUCUUCUGAUCGUUGUUCUCGCGCCUUUCGGCGGUUGCGUCUGCCCCAUUACGGCGUCGUCGCGCCAGCUGCUUAUCGACCGUGCGGGGUGCGGCAGUCGGCUGUGCUGUGUACACAUUCAUGCACAAAAGGGUGGGGCUGACUUCUUUUAAUCGCCAUUCCUCAGUCGCCACGACUGACUUCCUGAUACUCGCCGUAUGCUUCUCGCUUCUGUUGCGUGCCUCUCACUCUCCCUCUUUCACCAUCUCAG